This 1841-nucleotide long non-coding RNA is filed under the name Homo sapiens (human). Its description in RNAcentral is "HSALNT0096760". The record is from RNAcentral. Lineage: Eukaryota; Metazoa; Chordata; Mammalia; Primates; Hominidae.
UUUAACAUGAAUUGAGUUAUGUGUUUCUUGUUAAAUGGAUCAAAUUUCAACAAAGCCCGGGAAACAUCUUGAAAAUCACAUGAAUGCAAUUUCCAAAGAAAACAAUCCAAGAAUUACUGCCAAAAAGUUUUAUUUCCACUAGGAAGGAAAAGAAGAGUUUCAUUUUGCCCCCCACACAGACUGUAUGUUCAAUCUGUGGUCUGCAGUGGAAAAUUCUCCUGAUUUUGCUCAAUUCAGGGGAGGAGAGAAAUGAAGGAGGCUAUUGUUAUUUGAGUGAGUGAUAAAACUGUCUUUCUUUCUCUAGUAUUAAUAUGUUAUUAGCAUUUUCAAUUUGAUUCUACAAAUAUUGAGUUUUACUGGUGUGUGUGGUACAAUGGGAAGCAGGACAAAAAGCUUAACACGCGAUGACUGUCUCAUGGGCUUUACAAAUUAGACCUACAAGUAGGGCACUGCCAGCCCACACGGAGUCCUUGUGUAAAUUAGAAAAAGAUGACCCUUCCAGGCAGAUGCAGCCUUGUGGGUAACCAGUGAGCAACCAAGGGACAUUUGUGCAAAUUAGAAAAAGCACCUUCUUCCUCUGGUGGGCACAAUCUUGCACCAGAGUGAACAUCUUGAUUUUAUCCUCCCUCCCUGUUGACAAGGUGCUUUUAUGCAGGAUACAACUUGCCCAUGUGACUGCAACAGGACAUAUAAAGGGAUCAUCUGAGAAUUACUCAUGGUCAAAAUGGAAACAAUGCAACCACCAUUCUCAAACUUCAGUGAGUAGAAGAAUCAUGGCAGCUUGCUAAAAUGCCCGAGUCUCAUCUCAGAUAUUCUGAUUCAGGAUGACUGAGGUGAGCUCUUUGGGUGUAAAAUGCAAAGAUGGGAUGAAGAGACAUUGCAGCCCUCUGAUUACUCACUUGGGGGAAGUAGAUCAAGGCUAUGAUGUUGCCUGACAGUGAUGGUUGAAGGCAGCUGAGUCCUGUCAUGGAAAAUGUAAAGGCCCUCCCCUUUUUCAUUUCCCUCCAGGAACUUCUGCCUGUAGUAAUAAAGAAUCCUGUGUUCAUGCCUGUGUUGCUUCAUUUUAGGAGCUUGACUUUUAUAUGAAUCUUUGUCCAUGUGCAGGGCUGUCGACUAUUGUUUCUGCCUCAGCUUACCCAUGAAGAAAGGGAAGUGUGUGACAUUAAAUGAUUUGCCCAGGUCACCCAGAAAGUCAGUGAUGGAGUCUACAAAAGAAAGGAUAAGUUGUUUUUCUUCGUUCUCUACCUCAGCCACCAGAGGAAAUCGCAGCAAAGUGUCCAGGAUGGUUCAAUAAUCAGCCCUCCUUCCUUCCCAUGACCAGAAGCCACAGUUAUUUCCAUGAGGAUGCUGGUGUUUGGCUUCCUUCCUGCCUCAUUUGACUGAGUUGUCUUUGCUGUAGAGCUUGCUUUUCUGUAAGGCCAACGCUGUAUCAGAACCCAUGGAUUAUAAGCAAUAUUCACUGUGUGCCGAACCCUUAACACUAGGCACUGGGAGACACCAUGAGGGGACCUAACCCAUCUACAAUAUAAAAAUAAGCCUAUGGAACAGAACUGGGGGAACCUAGAAAGACCUGCUCUGGGGAGCCAUUUAUACCUGGCUUUGAAUCUCAGGGCAGUCACUUAUCAGCUGUGUAGCUUUGGGGAAGUUACACAAUCUCUCUGAGCCUUGCUUCCUUCACUUUCAAAAUGGAACUUGUAGCAUCUACCACAAGAAGAGUAUUCUGAGAAUUUAAGAAGCCUAUUUAUACAUGUAUAUCUAAAUGUGGGCAUACAAUGGCAAAUGAGAUGAGAAACAGAAGGAAAGAGAGAAAGGGAGGCUAGCACAUGUUUAUCACAGGUUAA